RNAcentral lists this ribosomal RNA (402 nucleotides) under uncultured bacterium. RNAcentral describes it as "bacterial SSU rRNA". It matches the Rfam family "Bacterial small subunit ribosomal RNA", at positions 355 to 774 of the family's 1533-position model. The record is from RNAcentral.
UGGGGAAUAUUGCACAAUGGGCGAAAGCCUGAUGCAGCAACGCCGCGUGAGUGAUGAAGGCCUUCGGGUUGUAAAGCUCUGUCUUCUGGGACGAUAAUGACGGUACCAGAGGAGGAAGCCACGGCUAACUACGUGCCAGCAGCCGCGGUAAUACGUAGGUGGCAAGCGUUGUCCGGAUUUACUGGGCGUAAAGGAUGCGUAGGCGGAUACUUAAGUCAGAUGUGAAAAUCCCGGGCUUAACUUGGGAACUGCAUUUGAAACUGGGUAUCUAGAGUGCGGGAGAGGAAAGUAGAAUUCCUAGUGUAGCGGUGAAAUGCGUAGAGAUUAGGAAGAACACCAGUGGCGAAGGCGACUUUCUGGACCGUAACUGACGCUGAGGCAUGAAAGCGUGGGGAGCAAACA